UGGGAACCUUCCCUAUGGUUCGGAAUAGCUCAGGGAAACCUGGGGUAAUACCGGAUAAGCCCUUCGGGGGAAAGAUUUAUCGCCAUUGGAUGGGCCCGCGUAGGAUUAGCUAGUUGGUGAGGUAAUGGCUCACCAAGGCGACGAUCCUUAGCUGGUCUGAGAGGAUGAUCAGCCACACUGGGACUGAGACACGACCCAGACUCCUACGGGAGGCAG
RNAcentral lists this ribosomal RNA (216 nucleotides) under uncultured bacterium. RNAcentral describes it as "partial 16S ribosomal RNA". It matches the Rfam family "Bacterial small subunit ribosomal RNA", at positions 118 to 351 of the family's 1533-position model. The record is from RNAcentral.